This is a long non-coding RNA of Bombus terrestris (buff-tailed bumblebee), 952 nucleotides long. RefSeq lists it as uncharacterized. The record is from RefSeq and is a predicted model, not a curated record. Lineage: Eukaryota; Metazoa; Arthropoda; Insecta; Hymenoptera; Apidae. The transcript is spliced from 2 exons.
AUUACAAUAUUACAGUAGUAUUAAGACCAUGUGUUAAAAGGUAUUAACGGACGAUAUACAUAGUCAUACAAUGUUUAUGUUGGCCAUUCUAACUGUCGCUUAGUAUGUUAAAUCAUAAUUUGUGCUAAAGUCAGAAAUUUGUUCAAUUCGGUGGAUUCGAGCAGAUUCUUUGUGGUUGUGGCGGCACUCGACAAGCCAAAUACCACCAUUCGACAUUAAUUAGUGUCGGACGACGGCAGCGCAGUGGUUAACGCGUUAGGUUACGAACGUUCGGAACCCGGCGACCGGAGACCGAUUUUUCUUCUACGCAACUAAAUUAGGAAGAAAAAUCAGCAGUACCCCAGCAGCGACAUCUACAGCCCCUAGCGACAAUUAGCCUGGACGAGGCCCAGCAACUACAACUAUCACGGACAACAUAUAUACCACCUCAUGGUCUUGGACAACUGAUAACGAGUACGAGUUUAUACUUGAUGGACCAUCCAAUUCUGAUUGGCACUGCAUAAGUCUCUUUAUUGAGAGUCACGGUCUGAUUGAGGUUUAGAUAUAAGUGACUCUAACAGGAAUCGUCUUCCUAAUUGAGAAUUUUUAAGGUUGCUGAUUAGCCUGUGUUCCGAAAAACAAUAAUUAAUCACCCUUUAUGGAGAGAAGGUAAAGCGAUCUCAGAAAUUAUGGAGGUAGUUUUCCCAACACUGUGAAAUUUCUUCCCAGUCUCAACAAUUGGUACCUGUGCAUUGACGUCGACUGAGAUCCUAAUAACUAUAUAUAUUUAACUAUAGAAUAACUAUAUAUAUCCUAAUAAGUUAUAAAUACCAUGAAAUGGCAUCACAAAGAAAAUGCGAACAAAUUGAAAUGAGUUCUGAAGGAAAUCGUGCCUUCUGGAAGAUUCUAUUAUAAUGUAUUUGAAUUUUCCAUGUUUGUGGAUUUUAAAAAUUAAAUACCACAUCGAUAUUUA